GAUGAACGCUGGCGGCAGGCCUAAUACAUGCAAGUCGGACGGGAUCCAUUGAUAGCUUGCUAUCAAUGGUGAGAGUGGCGCACGGGUGCGUAACGCGUGAGCAACCUGCCUCCAUCAGGGGGAUAGCCUCUCGAAAGAGAGAUUAACACCGCAUAAUAUCAACAGUUCGCAUGUUCAGUUGAUUAAAUAUUUAUAGGAUGGAGAUGGGCUCGCGUGACAUUAGCUAGUUGGUAGGGUAACGGCUUACCAAGGCGACGAUGUCUAGGGGCUCUGAGAGGAGAAUCCCCCACACUGGUACUGAGACACGGACCAGACUCCUACGGGAGGCAGCAGUAAGGAAUAUUGGUCAAGGGGCGGAAGCCUGAACCAGCCAUGCCGCGUGCAGGAGGACUGCCCUAUGGGUUGUAAACUGCUUUUGGCCAGGAAUAAACCUAAAUACGAGUAUUUAGCUGAAUGUACUGGAAGAAUAAGGAUCGGCUAACUCCGUG
Molecule: ribosomal RNA, 488 nt
Filed under: uncultured bacterium
Lineage: Bacteria
Description: partial 16S ribosomal RNA
Rfam family: Bacterial small subunit ribosomal RNA
Source: RNAcentral